Salvelinus namaycush (lake trout) is the source of this 1977-nucleotide RNA transcript. It is a transcript of the gene named tumor necrosis factor receptor superfamily member 14-like, with no coding region annotated. NCBI's taxonomy places the organism in Eukaryota, Metazoa, Chordata, Actinopteri, Salmoniformes, Salmonidae. The record is from RefSeq and is a predicted model, not a curated record. The transcript has 7 exons.
UUUAGACAUUUUUUAUUUUAUGUGUUUAAAAGCGUAUGUUGUAUAACAGUAUUUAAACACGUAUUUGUUUAUCUGUAACGUUUAAUCUAUCGUCAACGUAGAGAGCGUAGACAUUUUUCUUCAGCAAGUGAAAAUGGUAUGCCUUCCGUCUGAACAGUAUUUCCUCCUUGGUUUUCAUUUGGUGCUUGUAUUUGGAAAGGAUUGUGGUCCAGCAGAAUACAAAACUAGUGAUGGGCAGUGCUGCCCAAUGUGUAAUAAAGGCUUGGUGGUCCGCAGAGAUUGUACAUUGGAUUCCAGCACAUCUUGCAUGCCCUGUAUCAGAGGGACCUUCAUGAACGAGGCCAAUGGUCUAACCAAGUGCUUUCCCUGCAGUCCCUGUGACCCAGGACAGGGCCUGUUCACUCAGACAGAGUGCAAACCAACAAGUAACACAGUCUGCGACGUUCUAGAUGGAUUCUACUGUAGAAGCUACUCAUCCAACUCUGAGUGUAGCUUUGCAGUAGAACAUACACACUGUUCACCGGGACAGAGUACUAAAUCACCUGGAACAAAGACAACAGAUACCAUGUGUGAGGAGUGUCAACAUGGCUUUUACUCACAACAUGGUGUCAACUGCACUGCUUGGACUGGUUGUGCAGCAAUGGGACGCAUGAAGACUGAAGAUGGAAAUUCUAGACAAGAUGUUAUUUGUAACAAAGUGCCAUCAAGGAGUCAUACCACUCUAAUAGCUUCAAUAAUAUUGUUAUUAUUAGGCCUAGAGUAGCUGCACUGUUUUGUUUGCAUUUAAAAAAUAUAUAUUUUUUAUCUAAAUCCUAGUCAUUUGAAGUUAAUAAGUCCUCAUACAACAUUGUUAUGCAAGCAAAAGUCUUUAUUGAAAAAUAAUUUCUAGUGAGUGAAAAAUUCUGUUAAUUUUAUGGCUAAAUAAUCCAAUGUUGUUCUUGUCAUUUAGUCAGUUUUAGUUGCUGUAGCGAUCCUAACUUUUGUAAUACAUCAUAGGUUCCUGUGCAAGAAACGGGACCUGUACAAGUCACUAGUAACUCCCUAGUGGAAACAGCAGAGAAUGUUGCUGGUAAUGUUGUAACUGGUGUAAGACUAAACUAGGAUGAAAUGCCAUGAAUGCAUGCAAGAUGCAUUUAACUAAACUUUUCUAAAUUCACUCUUUGAAACACCCAAACUGUUUUGAUGACUGUUUGACUAACAAUUAAAUUAUUGAUUCUCAUAAAUGAAUUUACACUGUCAAUCCAUGAGAUGGCGUACAAGUGUAACAGUUACAGCAACGCUCAAGAACUUCUUUGUUCUAGUUCUCAGUCACAGAACCCUGGAGACGAAAUAGAAUGGGCUAAUCAGAACCUAAUAGCCCAGUGAUCAGAAGAGGUGCAGGUCGGUCUGUGUUUGGUUGUAACAUUCUGAUUAACGAUUACAAACACAAAUCUAUUUAAAACCCCACAUUUUAUAUUAUCUUCAAAAAGAAAAGUUUAUUACAAAAAAAUGUCACCAUGGAUUAAAUUAGUUAAUUUCCUGAAUUUGUAGCAGUAAUUUCAUAAGGCCUAUCAUGGCACUUAAAAUGUAAAUGAAUGCCAUAUUUUACUUAGGUAAAUGUCCUAAAUCAAUGGGCAUUGGUGUAAAGUACUUAAGUAAAAAUACUAUCUUACAGAGUAGCUAUAACUAACUAGCCAGCUAGCUUUGUAGCCAUGGAUUGUGCACCUUCCAUUGUUUAGCCAAGUAGCUAUCUGGUUGAUGUUUUCCUUUUGUUAACAGAGCAGAUGAAAGCAACAUUCACCUCCACAAAUGCUGUUUAAAUCGAUAUCCAUACUGAAUGAAGCAGUUAAGGGACCUUAUGAGCAUCCUUUACUUUUUCACUUAAUUUAAGGGGGAAAUUCACCUUAAAAUGUUUUGUGCAACUGACUUAAAGUUAAGGAAACUUCAAGGCAAAAGGGGGAAAUUAACUUAAGGUGUUUUAUGCACCUAGGACAUGUA